This 479-nucleotide ribosomal RNA is filed under the name uncultured bacterium. RNAcentral's name for it is "partial 16S ribosomal RNA". It matches the Rfam family "Bacterial small subunit ribosomal RNA", at positions 28 to 507 of the family's 1533-position model. The record is from RNAcentral.
GAUGAACGCUGGCGGCGUGCUUAACACAUGCCAGUCGAGCGAGAAGUUUUGAAAAGAUUCUUCGGAUGAAAUUUAAAAUGGAAAGCGGCGGACGGGUGGGUAACGCGUAGGCAACCUGCCCCAUACAAAGGGAUAGCAUUUGGAAACGAAUAUUAAUACCUUAUGAAACUUAACUAGUGCAUGCUAGGUAGGUCAAAGAUUUAUCGGUAUGGGAUGGGCCUGCGUCUGAUUAGCUAGUUGGUGAGGUAACGGCUCACCAAGGCGACGAUCAGUAGCCGACCUGAGAGGGUGAACGGCCACAUUGGAACUGAGACACGGUCCAAACUCCUACGGGAGGCAGCAGUGGGGAAUAUUGCACAAUGGGGGAAACCCUGAUGCAGCAACGCCGCGUGAACGAUGAAGGCCUUUGGGUCGUAAAGUUCUGUUCUAGGUGAUGAAAACUGACAGUAACCUAGGAGAAAGCCCCGGCUAACUCCGUG